GCAGCAGUGAUUCAGUGGUAGAAUUCUUGCCUUCAAUGUAGGAGACCCAGGUUUAAUUCCCGGCCAAUGCA
Molecule: transfer RNA, 71 nt
Filed under: Loxodonta africana (African savanna elephant)
Lineage: Eukaryota; Metazoa; Chordata; Mammalia; Proboscidea; Elephantidae
Rfam family: tRNA
About the family: Transfer RNA (tRNA) molecules are approximately 80 nucleotides in length.
Source: Rfam by way of RNAcentral